RNAcentral lists this non-coding RNA (798 nucleotides) under Ips hauseri. The record is from RNAcentral. Lineage: Eukaryota; Metazoa; Arthropoda; Insecta; Coleoptera; Curculionidae.
AAAAGAGUCUUUCAGCUCUAAAUUUUUAUUUUUUUUUAAAUUUAAUGUAAAUUUUUGUGAAAAAUGAAAUUUAUUAUAAAUAAAUAAAUUUAUUAUUUUAAUUACAGUAAUUAAUUUUUUAAAUUUGGGAGUUUAAGAUAAAGAUAAUAAUAAUUAGUACAAACAAAAUUUGUGCCAGCAGUUGCGGUUACACAGGUUGUGCGGUAAAAAUAGUUUAGAUAGAGUUAAAAAUUUUUGUAUAUAAAAAGUUUAAAAUUAUUUUAUAAGGUGAAAUUUUAUUUUUAAAAAAUUUUUGAAUGUACAAGAUUUUGAGGCUUAGAAAUUUUUUUUAAAACUAGGAUUAGAUACCCUAUUAUAGAAAUGUAAGUUUUUAUCUAAAUUAGUGCUAGAAUUGAGAUUUUAAUCUAAUGUUCUUGAAAAUUAAGAAGGGUGGCGGUAUUUUAGUCUUUUCAGAGGAACCUGUCCUAUAAUUGAUAAUCCACGAUUUUUAUUACUUUUUUUAAAAAUUUAUAUAUCGCCGUGGUUGAAUAUUUUUUUUGAAAUAUAAUAUUCAAGAUUUUUAUAAAGAUAAAAAUUCAGGUCAAGAUGUAGUUUAUAAAAAAGUAGAGAUGGGUUACAAUAAUUUAAAUUUUGGAAGAAUUUUUGAAAAUAAUUUUAAAAUUGGAUUUGAAAGUAAUUUUAUAGAUUAAUAUAAGAUGAUUUUAGCUCUAAAAUGUGCACAUAUCGCCCGUCGCUUUCACUUUAAAGUGAAAUAAGUCGUAACAUAGUAGAUGUACUGGAAAGUGUCUCUAGAAGACG